AGAGUUUUAAGUUGUUGAUGGUCGAAAGUUUGGUGUUGUUGUCUUUUGUUUAUUUGUUAAUGUGUUUUGUAUUGCUUUCUUCUUCUCGUUUAUAUGUUUACGUUUGUAUUGUAUUGUGUUGUGAUUUGCUUGUUUUAAAUGUCUGUACCUAGAUGGUAAAUGUGAAAUCUUGAAUGAUACAUACAUUUCAACAUUUAAAACAA
RNAcentral lists this long non-coding RNA (203 nucleotides) under Brassica napus (rape). RNAcentral describes it as "long non-coding RNA (BNAP_LNC004585)". The record is from RNAcentral. Lineage: Eukaryota; Viridiplantae; Streptophyta; Magnoliopsida; Brassicales; Brassicaceae.